GUUAGAACAAGGGCAGUCAGAGAAACUGUCAGAAAAUACUGUGGGCCAGACUGUGCUUUCUGCUAGAAGAGCCUCACUGAAAAUAGUAGUAGUACUACUGCUACUAUUUAAAAAGACCAAACCAACAAACCCCCAUGCUUUAGAGUGCACUCAUUGGGAAGUCUGAUAGAAUUUUCUGAAGAAAUUGAAGUGUUCAAAGCUGGCUGGCCAACAGUGUGCUCCAGCCAGGAAUAACAGAAUAGGACUUUGGCUCUUUUUUGUUGGGUUUUUUUUUUUUGGAAGCAGGGCCAUGAUUAAGAGCAAUGGUUUAGGGCAUUCAUAUUGUACCACUUGAACUGGAAUUCUUGGGCCAGUGCAAGAUGAACUAAAGCAAAAGCAUUUGCCAAGAAUGUUUUCAUUAAUCAACAACAAAAGCUGGAGGCUUAUGGCCAACUCACUAUCAGGUGGCCUUACUCACAUCAUCUGCCAGGCAGCUUGUAGCACACCCAAGUCUUUAGGUUC
This 501-nucleotide non-coding RNA is filed under the name Phalacrocorax carbo (great cormorant). RNAcentral describes it as "Eukaryotic small subunit ribosomal RNA". It matches the Rfam family "Eukaryotic small subunit ribosomal RNA", at positions 633 to 1114 of the family's 1831-position model. Lineage: Eukaryota; Metazoa; Chordata; Aves; Suliformes; Phalacrocoracidae. The record is from Rfam by way of RNAcentral.